This 84-nucleotide transfer RNA is filed under the name Yarrowia lipolytica. RNAcentral describes it as "tRNA-Ser". The record is from RNAcentral. Lineage: Eukaryota; Fungi; Ascomycota; Dipodascomycetes; Dipodascales.
GGCAUCCUGGCCGAGCGGUUAAGGCGAGAGAUUAGAAAUCUCUUGGGGUUUCCCCGCGUAGGUUCCGAAUCCUGCGGGAUGUCG